Non-coding RNA from Heterocephalus glaber (naked mole-rat), 3126 nucleotides. Lineage: Eukaryota; Metazoa; Chordata; Mammalia; Rodentia; Bathyergidae. The record is from RefSeq and is a predicted model, not a curated record.
CGCCGCGAUGACGUCACGGGCACGCCGCCGUACAGCGACUCGCGUCCCGGAAGUGCUGGUGACAGCGGAGGUGGCCCUCAUUCCUGCCACUUCAGAACGGCCCUAGGAGGCGUCGCAACACAGUGGUGGGGUGGGGCCGAAGAAAUUGUCGGCGGGCCAGUGGCCUUCCCGGUGCUCCGGGCCGUCCCUUCCCCUCCCUCCACCAAGCCAGCGACCGGGAUGCAGACAUCAGAGCGUGAGGGGAGUGGUUCAGAAGUGAGCCCCGGUGUGAUGUCUGAGGCAUUCUCGGAAUGUCCACCUGUCCCUACCAAGACCCCAGCAUUUGAUCUUUUCAACUUGGUUCUGUCCUACAAGAGACUGGAGAUCUACCUGGAACCUCUGAAGGAUGCAGGUGAUGGUGUUCGAUACUUGCUCAGGUGGCAGACACCUUUGUGUUCCUUGCUGACCUGCCUGAGCCUCAACAUCUUGUUCCUCACGUUGAAUAAGGGUGCUUGGUACUCGGUGGGUGCCUUGAUGAUUUCAGCCCCCGCCCUGCUCGGCUACCUUCAGGAGGUUUGCCGGGCACGGCUGCCAGAGUCCGAGCUGAUGCGGAAGAAAUAUCACAGCAUAAGGCAGGAAGACCUGCAGAAAGUUCGCCUUUCCCGCCCUGAGGCCAUGGCUGAGGUGAAGAGCUUCUUGAUUCAGCUGGAGGCCUUUUUGACCCGUCUGUGCUACACCUGUGAAGCCGCCUACCGAGUGCUGCACUGGGAGAAUCCUGUGGUGUCCUCACAGUUCUAUGGAGCCCUUCUGGGCACAGUUUGCAUGCUGUAUCUGCUGCCGCUCUGCUGGGUACUCAUCCUUUUAAAUAGCACACUCUUUUUGGGGAAUGUGGAGUUUUUCCGAGUGGUAUCUGAGUACAGGGCAUCUCUGCAGCGGCGGAUGAACACUAAGCAGGAAGAGUGUACCUUUGAAAGCCCACUGCUAUUGGAUGCUGAGGGGAAGGGUGCUCUGCUGGACAGCACUCCUGCCCCCACACCCACUGAGAAUCUUUCCUCCCAGGACCUCACGCCGGGCAGUGUGGAGGAGGCUGAGGAGGCUGAGCCGGAUGAAGAAUUCAAAGAUGCCAUUGAGGAGACCCACUUGGUGGUGCUGGUAAGUAGGAGUGCUGGUGAGGUGGGCAAGGGCUGGACUGGGCGUGGGGGGAGAGUGGCUAAGCCAGCCGUGCCGCACCUCAUGGGGUCUGCUCUGGCCAGGUGCUUCUGCAUGCAGGUCCUAGGCCUUCCAAGAGGGGGGCAGGACUGGAACGAGCUGUUCCCACAGGAAGAUGAUGAGGGCACCCCAUGCCCAGCAGAGGAUGAGCUGGCCCUACAGGAUAAUGGGUUCCUGAGCAAGAAUGAGGUGUUGCGCAUCAAGGUGUCACGGCUCACAGAGCGGCUUCGAAAGCGUUACCCUACCAACAACUUUGUGAUGAAGGGGCACAUUGGACGAAUGAAGACCAGUUAUUCAGGAGCUUCUCUGUGGCCUCCAAGUGUGGAACUGUACAGGCUGCUCUGCUACCUUCUCAGUACUGAAGAAGCGGCGGAGCUGCAGUAACUGUGGGAACAGCUUCUGCUCUCGGUGCUGCUCCUUCAAGGUACCCAAGUCCUCCAUGGGGGCCACAGCCCCUGAAGCCCAAAGAGAGACUGUGUUUGUGUGUGCCUCAUGUAACCAGACCUUGAGCAAGUGAGAAGAGAGGCCAGGCUCCAACUGCCAGCAGUCCUGGGGCCAACAAUAGACCUCCUCUCCCUACCUCUGGCCCCUGUGGCUUGUGCUGGGCAAACGUGGCCUGACUGCUCAGUAGGCUUCCCCUUUCUUCCCCUUUUUUCAGCCAGGCUGGCAGUGCUGUGCUCAGAGCUCGAGGGAGAGGUGCCCCUAGACGGUCUGUUUGCUUUGCUCUGCCCAGGUUAGUUAAGUGGACUAAGGGCUGGUCAGGGAGCUAGGCCUGGCUCAGCUGAGCUGUAAUGAUUAGGACCAAUAUGGCUGGGCCUGGAGAUCCUGGCAGACCAGCACUUGGGAAAAGUUCUUCCCUACAGAACAUGGGGCCAGUCCCUCAGCCUGAGAGCCUUCAAGACAGUUUGGGAAUGCCACACCUAGCUCUGCUGUUUGAAUGUCCCUCUUCCAGGUACCAGGAUCCGAUCAUUUCCCUAUCAGAGGGUGUGGCCAGGGAUAACCAGAUUGUUCUAAAAGCAAGGCUGGAGUUCUCAGGUUCCUCCAGAGGAGAGCAGUGUACAGAGAACUCAUACAGUCCUCUAGUAUCUGUGGAACACAGCAUGGGGAAGCUCCACUAUGGAGUGGACUGGCAUGAUGCCCUGGAGUCCUCAGUUCCACCUGGGUGGCUGAAGGGCAGGCACUCAGAUCACUCUUGCUCCCCCACCCAAGUGCAGGGAAACCUUCCUCUGACCUGUGCCACCUCUCCCUUCCCUAUCCUUUGUCCCAUGGAAUGUGAAGUCAGGUGAGCAGAGCAGAGGUCCAGAAGCCCUUGACCUUGAGGGUCCUGGGAAGUGUAGAAUCUUGCUGGUCUGGGUCCUAGAUUCCAGGGCCAUUUCCUGGAGGACAUUCUCAAUUACAAGAUAAGGCCACUAAGGGUCCCAUCUUUCCAACAAUUUCAUAUUUCCUUCUGGAUGUUCAGGGGCCUAGCAUCUUUCCUAAAGCCAUGACCUGGUUGAGCGCCCCCCAUCCCCCUAGCUGCCCUGCCUUUAUAGAGUAUUUAUUUAUUUAUUUCAUGGUUCCUGGAAACAUACAGCACAGGGGAAUGGGAUAAAGAGGGUGAGGGUCUUCUGCCCUGGAGUCAUAGCCUGCCUGGGACCUCAAGGCAUAAGUGGCUAGGUGUUUCUACUCCCUAAGCAUGGACUUGAGGCAGGUGGGAGGACAAGCAGCCCACCCUAGGCCUGCUUUCUUGCCAGGCCACGCUAUUUGGUGAGGGUUUGGCAACUGGGUCUGGUCCUGGUCAGGCAAGGAACCAGGCUUGGGAGAAAAGGCAGGCCUUGGUGUCCCCAGUUUGCCUUGUUAGAGAUGAGGGUUAAGUUUUUCUAUGCUUAUUUACACUGGAGAGGAGUGAAAGGAUCUCUAUGUAUGGAAAAUUAUCAAUAAAAGGCUUCAAGCUUCUUA